GUAAUGCAAUUAUAUUCCAUGAGAUGACAUAAUCCAAUUAAAAAAUAAAACAUACUUACAAACCACCACCCUUGUACAAAUUCUAUAUGAAACUCUAUCACACUACUAUAAUAAAAUAAAAUUAUUAAAAAGUGAAAUAUCAAUGUCCAAAUUUUAUGAAAAUAAAGGUCCAUCCAUGCGGGGAAUGAGAGCCACUACCUGUCUCCUUGAGUGAUCUUAAUAUAUAGAUACACUCACACAUAUGUAUAUGUUUGUAACUUUUCAUUUCACGAAGGUGAAGUGAAGGAGUAUAUAGCAAAAUAGUUUUGCAAGUACUCAAAUGUCUCUUGGGUACCAUCAAAGGGCGCCCAUAUAUACUUUAUUGGAGUGACAGCUAUUAUAAUAGACAUAUAUCAGAUAUAAUAAUUAGAUAUGUCGCAAUAAAUAGUAGUUCGAAGGUCAUAAAUGGAUAGAUACAAAAUUCAUUGAACAGAAUGAUUACCACUUUGAGCCAGGAACUUUUGACAAGAAAUUGGAUUUUUUUGUUUUUUUGUUUUGUAUUGAUUUUGAUAAUUGAAUAAAUAUACAAAUAUAUUGUGAAGAGCCGAAGAUAUAUUAUAAUUCUUUCAAGAACAAGGAGGGGGGGGGGGAGAGGGUUUACAUAAAUUCCCUCAUCCACAAUUCACAAGUUUCAUACCGAUUUCAUUUUUAGGAGGAGUUCCGGGAAGUUUGAGUUGGAUCUGACAGGUGGCAUCUUUUUUUUUUCGCUCCAAGCCUUUCAGGAAAAGCAAAAAGUCUAAUAAAAGUUCUGUCCACUUCAGAACGACUCAAAAGGUUUGAUUUGGUGACGUAAUGUACUUUCAAAGUGACGUAAAUUCCACUUCAGCCUCAGGUUGUUCAAACCUACACACAUUCUCAAAAGCUUCCAAGUGGGUGCAUCCAGUUGCUGGGUAUUCUUAAAUGUGCAAAAGGAUGCACAUGUCAGCAUAUAGUAUUCUAUUGUUGCUUUAAAUCUUUAUAUAUAAUUCCCAUCUUCACAUGCUUGGAGGAUACAUUUUGCAAAUUACAGAUUGAUUUUAAAUUGAUCACUACCAAAAAUUCAAAAUCUUGACUUCUGUGGACAACUUCAACAAUUUAGGCGAGUGUGUGAGAAAAUAAACAACAAUAGAUAUGAGACAUCAGAAAAAUGCAUGUGCAUGUUUCUGUGUACGCACACACGAACAUAUAUAUAUAUAUAUAUAUAUAUAUACAUAGAAUCAUGUUGAAAACAAUUACUUCUUGUUUUCAAAGACUUUCGUGGGAUCCCUUUGUGAAGGCCAAGAAUCAAAGUUUUUGUUUUUAUUUUUAUUUUUUUCAAUACCAUUUUGCAUUUAAAAGUUUUUCACA
RNAcentral lists this long non-coding RNA (1365 nucleotides) under Physcomitrium patens. RNAcentral describes it as "long non-coding RNA (PPAT_LNC011565)". Lineage: Eukaryota; Viridiplantae; Streptophyta; Bryopsida; Funariales; Funariaceae. The record is from RNAcentral.